Molecule: long non-coding RNA, 430 nt
Organism: Solanum verrucosum
Lineage: Eukaryota; Viridiplantae; Streptophyta; Magnoliopsida; Solanales; Solanaceae
Exons: 2
Source: RefSeq, a predicted model, not a curated record
AAGGAAAAAAAAUUCCAUCUUCUCUUUCAAGAAAAAAAAGAUGUCAUCAUCCAAUUUAAAUCAUCAAGCAAACAAUGGACUCCCAAUUUGUCUUGCAGGGAUCACACGUCCUCUUCCUCUCUCCAAAGAGAUGACGGAUCACACUGGAAGAAGGGAGUCUAUGAAAAAGCUAAGAGUUCAAAUGGGAGGAAAAUGGAAAACAGAUCAAGUGAGAAGCCAUGAAAGAGACUUCAGAGAGAAAAUAAAUGAAAGUGAUUCAGAUCUUAUUGUUGCUCUUCUUUGUGAUCUUUGUUUGUCUUGUACAGCAAAGGCUGCUUGAUUCUAACUUAGAUAAAAAAGUAUUUAAUUUGGUUUUCUUUUAGUUUUUGUUUAUGUACUUUUGGGAAUUUUGUGAUAUAUUUGGCUUAGAUUUGUGUAAGAACCUCCUAAU